This 542-nucleotide ribosomal RNA is filed under the name uncultured bacterium. Its description in RNAcentral is "bacterial LSU rRNA". It matches the Rfam family "Bacterial large subunit ribosomal RNA", at positions 1818 to 2359 of the family's 2925-position model. The record is from RNAcentral.
GGACUCUGCGAAGUCGUAAGACGAAGUAUAGGGUCUGACGCCUGCCCGGUGCCGGAAGGUUAAGGGGACAUGUCAGCGCAAGCAAAGCAUCGAACCGAAGCCCCGGUAAACGGCGGCCGUAACAAUAACGGUCCUAAGGUAGCGAAAUUCCUUGUCGGGUAAGUUCCGACCUGCACGAAUGGCGUAACGAUUUCCCCACUGUCUCAACCAGGGACUCAGCGAAACUGUAGUACCGGUGAAGAUGCCGGUUACCCGCAACAAGACAGAAAGACCCCGUGAACCUUUACUAUAGCUUGGCAUUGUGUUUAGGGACAACAUGUGUAGGAUAGGUGGGAGACUUUGAAGCGUGCACGCUAGUGUGCGUGGAGUCAACCUUGAAAUACCACCCUUGUUGUCUUUGAACUCUAACCGCGGUCCCUCAUCGGGAUCCGGGACAGUGUCUGGUGGGUAGUUUGACUGGGGCGGUCGCCUCCCAAAGAGUAACGGAGGCGCGCGAUGGUUCCCUCAGGCUGAUUGGAAACCAGCCGUAGAGUGUAAAGGCA